Molecule: long non-coding RNA, 485 nt
Organism: Lycium barbarum (goji berry)
Lineage: Eukaryota; Viridiplantae; Streptophyta; Magnoliopsida; Solanales; Solanaceae
Exons: 3
Source: RefSeq, a predicted model, not a curated record
UCGGCCAAGACCCAUGGAAAUUAAGUACCUUAAAUCUUGUUCCAAAAAUUGUUUUCUUGUAGUAUUCCUACCAAUUCAAGUACCCUCUACAACGUGGUAUAAUUAUUUCGGAAGAUGGUUCAUCCGUUUCAUCGUUUCCGCACUUUGGUUAAGUGAAGAAGAUUGGAGAAAAAGAUUUUGGAUGAAACGGGAAGUGAACUUGGAAAGGCGUAAAAAGCAUAAAAGGUACAGACGACAGAUUUGCUGACCCGCCUUCCUAGGACAUCUAUUCUGCUAUUUUGGGAGUGCUCUUUUGUCCAGAGCCUAUAUGUUGGUACAGUCUGCUGCUAUUGUAUAUAUGUAUGCUAUUCAGGGGUAUGACGGGGCCCUGUCCCGUCUUGUGAUUCUGUUAUAAUCUGUAGAGGUCUGUAGACAUACUUGUGUGGGUUCUGUAUAUGUUUUGGGAUGAUAUGAUCUGUGACAGCCUUAUCGGCUCCCAUGUACUA